RNAcentral lists this long non-coding RNA (204 nucleotides) under Manihot esculenta (cassava). RNAcentral describes it as "long non-coding RNA (MESC_LNC010449)". The record is from RNAcentral. Lineage: Eukaryota; Viridiplantae; Streptophyta; Magnoliopsida; Malpighiales; Euphorbiaceae.
CUCUCCCUCUACCUCUACCACUACCCUGAGGCAUAGCUGAAGCCACUGGCUGCCCUACUGGCUGUGCUACACUGCCUGAACUCAUCUGCUGGGAAGGUGCCACAAAAGUCACCUGAGGACAUUCUCGAGCAAAAUGCCCUACCUGUCCACAUCUGAAACAGGCUGACGAUCCCAACUGACAAGCUCCUCUGUGUGGUCUCCCAC